Long non-coding RNA from Camelus dromedarius (Arabian camel), 3398 nucleotides. RefSeq lists it as uncharacterized. NCBI's taxonomy places the organism in Eukaryota, Metazoa, Chordata, Mammalia, Artiodactyla, Camelidae. The record is from RefSeq and is a predicted model, not a curated record. The transcript has 8 exons.
UGGCCAAUGCAGAAUCCACUCCCCCAAUGCCACUUUUUUUUUUUUUUUAAACCCAGGAGAGAGAAAGCUUUGGGGGAAAAAAAGAAAAAAAGCAAAAAAGCCCAGAUCUCAGGCUAAAUAAGGAAGGCGUUAUAUGUUAGGUGCAGCCAGACAAAAAGUCUGGACUGAAACAAAGCCCUUCCGUGGGUGAUUGCUAGGGAAAGGGGACCAAAAAAAAAAAAAAUAAUAAUAAUAAUAAUAAUAAAAGGAGAGGAGGAUGGAGCUUAAAGAAUUUGGUGAUCUGUCAUGGUGUAGUAUGAGUUAUAGCCUGACAACGCCAGGAACUUUCUCAUUCUAAAUUCUCAGGCCCAGAGCAAAAAGGUCCAGAAAAGGCUUUUUUUUUACCUUUUGCUGAUAAAAAAUGCAAUGCCCCCAGCAGCAGUGUGGAGAGUCCUCGGGCCACUGUCUUGGACAUGAGGAGACUCUGCUGGCCUGGGCCCACCUCUUGCAGGAGAGUUCUGUUUGUACAGCUUGUCUUAAAACCACAGUGAGUCCUUCUUGUUCUACUUGGGCCACCCUGUAAAUACUUCAGUUGGCAGAUUAUUUAGAAAGGAAUAAGAAGCUUAUAUCUCACCUCUUCCUACCCAUCUCCAUAUCCUGUGCCAAUCUGCUGAGCACGGACCACAGGCUUCUCUCUGGAGUCCUCUAUUUCCCUCUCUCUUCCAGGGACAGAGAGAAACCUUGGUUAUAGUCCAAGGCCAACGAGAGACUUCUGACCUUCAGCUUAAUUCAGUAGGUGACAUCCUCACCCUUAGCCGUCCCCCCUACCCCCACUGCCUUCACGUUUGCUCUUGUGAAUGGAUGCUCAGCCACACGAGAGGAUGGAGCUGGAGCAGCAGAACCCUCAGAAGUGAAGCGGACAUCACCUCACACAUCCCAUCAGCUCAUACAGAAUCACCCGAAGUGCUGGAAACUGCACUUGGCUUUGUCCCUCCCCACUUCAAGCAGGCUGGCGGAGUGCAGAGUUGCAGGAUAUGAGGGGUGUGGCAAGGAAGAGGAAGAACUACCAACCGGAGCUCCUCUGACAGACACUUUUCUGGAAAUCAUUUAGGACAACAUAGCAACAGACCACUGAGAGUUCCCUUCCCACCUGAAGGGGCUCAGAGAGGGGAAUGAGGGGAGAUGGAAAACGACCCAGAAGGCAUGGAGAGAGGGGAUGCUGGAGAGGGCAACGUUCAGAACCAGGAGGCAUGACCAGAGUUCCCCUGCCAGAGUUUUACUUCUGUGACCAGCCAAUGGGCAUGAUAAGGCCUUAAAAGAAAAACAAAAACCUGUUCGUGGAUCCUCUUGGCAGAGCCGGCAGGUAGCUGAUUGAUAAGCAGGAAAAACUGAGGGGUCAGAUCAAGCAUGACACUGCUUCUCUCCAGAGACCUCUGCAUGGAAUCCACUCCUGCAAGAAGAGGAGGGGGAGGGCGGGGGGAGAGGGGUGGCGGAAGGCGUGGGGGCUGGCUGGCCUUUCACUGCUCAGCUUGGCUCCCUGAGAAACUAGCCGCAGUCGGCACGGUGGGUCCCGCACACCCCUGACGGCCGUCUCCCGCAAACAGGGGUAGAAGCCCCUGGUACCAUCUGAGUUCUGAGCAGGAGAAGGAGUGUGGAGAGAGGGGCCGGGGAUGGUGAAGGAGCCCAGGUGAGAUACCUGAUCUUCACAGACUUGCCCACUUCCUCCAGGGAAGGCUCAGCACCAAGAGGGGAAACUGGCCCAUUCAGUGUCCCGCCGUUUUAGGGUGACGUAGCAUUUCACCAGGACUGCUUGAAAUAGAUCUUUCUCAACCAGUGAAAUUCAGUGAUACAGACACCCUGGGCCUGGUGCUAAAACAAUAGUAGCUGAAACUUACCUGACAUUGAAAAUGUGCUUUAGAGUCCUUUUCUUAUAUUAACUCACUUAGUUUUUACAACAACCCUCUGAAUAGGUACUAUCAUACCCCCAAUUUACAGAAGGAGAAAGUGAGGCACAGAGAAGUUGACUAACUUUGCUGCAGUCACUCAGCUAACAGGUGCCAAGCCAAGAUGCACAUCAAGCAAACUGGCCCUGGAUCCUCCUUAGCAGCGGGACAAUUUUCAGAUAAAAUUUUACGUGGAUGCCAAAUGUCUGACAGAUAAAGGCAAGUCUGCAGCCACUGAGCAGUGGACUGACUCUGAUUGCAGAUGCUCGGCAGAGAGCAGGGCCCGAUGGAAUCUCUGUGACCUCUUACAUCCCAAACAUUGGAAGAGGUCAAUUACUUCCCAUUUGGGGAACCUGUGAACAUUAAGAGGUGACUGGAGUGACGGGACUGAACGAUGCAGAUAAGAGGCUGAUUGCUUACAGAGCAGCGCCCUGGCCAGCAAAUAUGGAUGCUACGGCAAUCUGGGCAGCAGAACAGAAAAUGUGGCAGGUCAAUGGAACAUCUUGGGUGUAUGUGAAAGCAACACUCUCUCCUGCCUCCCGCAUCUCUUCCGCCAACUGAAUGCAACUGACAAAGUCCCAGAAGCCAGCCUUGAAAUUUAUCUCAAACUGCUAUGAAAUAGGACUCCAGCUUUGGCAUGUGCCCAUUUACUUUUCCCCAUUCCCAUAUCCUAGACCUUUCUCAGAACUUCUCCCAGUAAAUAAUGUCAUUCUCACCCUCAUUAAAGGGAUUAAUCCACUGCCUCUAAGCACUGUCUCUAAGCACCCAGCUCACACCGGGUUUUCUCUCUUUCUAGAGAGUGUAUUGCCUGUCUGACUUGACAUGCAGUAUACACCACCUUGUAUUUUUAGAUACCUUUCUCGUGCUAGUCUCUGGUAUUCAAUUAGAUAGUAAAUUCCUUAAGGGCGGCAGCCAAAGUUUAUUUUCUUUUGUGUCCUAUGUUCAGCGAUGACUGAGUUAGUGAUGAUUGAAUUAAGCCUCUGUCCCCUUCACUCACAGCCUUGACCACAGCCAUCGCUGUUCCUCCUGGGCUCUUCCUCGUGGCGCAAAGCGCGGAGGCGGCGCGGGAGGCACGGUCUGUUCAGAACAACACACUCUGAUAACUGCUCCUUGGGUUACAAGCGGGUGGGAGGGUGAAAGAAACAGCAUUUAUUAAUUUCCUACCCUGCACCACGUACUUUGCUAGAUCCAUACGAUGAUGACCUACAUUUCUGGGUAAGGACUUUACCCAAAGGAAAGCAACAAAGAGUUCUUAAAAAUUAACAUAGAGUAUUUUAGAAUCUCAUCUUGGGAAAUUUUAAUACAACUCACUGAACAAAUGAGGGCCAGACGGUUACUCAGUGGUGGUACUGAGCUUAAACUCAACUGUCGUGAAUCUAAGGUCAAUGUCCACGAGUAAUUUUCCUCUUAUAAGGAAUACCCCUCAAAGGGAAAGGAGAAUAUUACACUGUAUGACCAUUUUCUCAUGAUGGAGAC